AACCUUAUGGACCUGCGGGCGUAUACCUGCGGAGGGAUCAUUACCGAGUCUUCGUACUCAAAACAACCCUUCUGUGGACCUGAAUAAAACCGUUGCCUCGGCAGGCGGCCCUACCUACGGGCCAGAUAGUUCGGCUGCCUCCAGGGAGGAAACCCUCCCUGAGGUGCUGGCGCCAGCCGCUGGCCCCAAACCAAAACUCUAGUAACUUUUACCUUCUGAGUUUUAAUGCAAGAAAUAAGU
Molecule: unclassified non-coding RNA, 240 nt
Filed under: soil metagenome
Description: partial contains 5.8S ribosomal RNA, internal transcribed spacer 2, and large subunit ribosomal RNA
Source: RNAcentral